UGGGGGAUUUUGCACAAUGGGCGCAAGCCUGAUGCAGCGACGCCGCGUGAGGGAUGAAGGCCUUCGGGUUGUAAACCUCUUUCGCUGGGUUGAAAGGCCAUGCUUUGGGUGUGGUUGAUUUGAACUGGUAAAGAAGUACCGGCUAACUACGUGCCAGCAGCCGCGGUAAUACGUAGGGUACUAGCGUUGUCCGGAUUUAUUGGGCGUAAAGGGCUUGUAGGUGGUUUGUCGCGUCUGUCGUGAAAUCCUGUGGCUUAACCAUGGGCUUGCGGUGGGAACGAGCAGGCUUGAGUGCGGUAGGGGAGACUGGAAUUCCUGGUGUAGCGGUGGAAUGCGCAGAUAUCAGGAGGAACACCGGUGGCGAAGGCGGGUCUCUGGGCCGUUACUGACACUGAGGAGCGAAAGCGUGGGGAGCGAACAGG
RNAcentral lists this ribosomal RNA (422 nucleotides) under Fusobacteriota bacterium. RNAcentral's name for it is "Fusobacteria bacterium partial 16S ribosomal RNA". It matches the Rfam family "Bacterial small subunit ribosomal RNA", at positions 355 to 776 of the family's 1533-position model. Lineage: Bacteria; Fusobacteriati; Fusobacteriota. The record is from RNAcentral.